UCCGAAUUCAGACCCUUGACCUCGGGUAAU
This 30-nucleotide small RNA is filed under the name Bombyx mori (domestic silkworm). Its description in RNAcentral is "ovarian small RNA-27453". Lineage: Eukaryota; Metazoa; Arthropoda; Insecta; Lepidoptera; Bombycidae. The record is from RNAcentral.